Molecule: ribosomal RNA, 698 nt
Filed under: uncultured prokaryote
Description: bacterial SSU rRNA
Rfam family: Bacterial small subunit ribosomal RNA
Source: RNAcentral
GAUGAACGCUGACAGAAUGCUUAACACAUGCAAGUCGAUUCGAUUUACCUUCGGGUAUUGAGGAUGGCGGACGGGUGAGUAACGCGUAAGGAACUUGCCUCUUGGUCUGGGACAACUGUUGGAAACGACAGCUAAUACCGGAUAUUAUGAGAUUCUCGCAUGGGAAACUUAUGAAAGCUAUAUGCGCCAAGAGAGAGCCUUGCGUUCCAUUAGCUAGUUGGUGGGGUAACGGCCCACCAAGGCGACGAUGGAUAGCCGGCCUGAGAGGGUGAACGGCCACAAGGGGACUGAGACACGGCCCUUACUCCUACGGGAGGCAGCAGUGGGGAAUAUUGGACAAUGGGCCACAAGCCUGAUCCAGCAAUUCUGUGUGCACGAUGAAGGUCUUCGGAUUGUAAAGUGCUUUCAGUUGGGAAGAAGAAAGUGACGGUACCAACAGAAGAAGCGACGGCUAAAUACGUGCCAGCAGCCGCGGUAAUACGUAUGUCGCAAGCGUUAUCCGGAUUUAUUGGGCGUAAAGCGCGUCUAGGCGGAAAAAUAAGUCUGAUGUUAAAAUGCGGGGCUCAACUCCGUAUUGCGUUGGAAACUGUUUUUCUAGAGUACUGGAGAGGUGGGCGGAACUACAAGUGUAGAGGUGAAAUUCNUANAUAUUUGUAGGAAUGCCGAUGGAGAANUCAGCUCACUGGACAGAUACUGAC